GGCUCGUUCGACUUCUGGUGAGGUCGCUGGUCUUUCACGCCAGUAAGGUUGGGUUCGAAUCCCACACGAGUCG
This 73-nucleotide transfer RNA is filed under the name Planctomycetaceae bacterium. RNAcentral's name for it is "tRNA-Glu". It matches the Rfam family "tRNA". From Rfam's summary of the family: Transfer RNA (tRNA) molecules are approximately 80 nucleotides in length. Their secondary structure includes four short double-helical elements and three loops (D, anti-codon, and T loops). Lineage: Bacteria; Pseudomonadati; Planctomycetota; Planctomycetia; Planctomycetales; Planctomycetaceae. The record is from RNAcentral.